UGUGGGUAGGCUGGACAUUUAAGUCCGUCAAUCUGCAUGGGGCAGUAUAACCUGUAGCCCAUUGGCCAAAGUGUGGGUGAGCCUGCCCCUCAACAUGCAUGACUCUUCUAUUGAAGAAUUAACUGAAUUUUGUCUGUUACAACUAAUCUAACAUUGUGGUUUAAUUCUUUUUAUCUAUUUCGGGAGGUGUUGCAAUUUAGUGAUUCUUUCAUGUUAACUUUUCAUUGCUCAGCGCAUGCGGUGGCUUGACAAGGCUUCGGGGAAAAAAUUACUUUGUUAGUCUUUAGGGUUUAAUAGGUAAAGUGAUAGUUCAUGCACUUGAUGAAAAGGCCAGAGCUUACUACAAUUUGGAGGGUCUUUGGACCCGAGGGACAAUUCAAAAUGAACCUGAUGGGGAUUUACAAAAAGCUUUGGUGAAGGUUCGUCGAAAAAACAAUUCGAAGAAACCUGCACAAAAGAAUGCUUAAUUAGUGUCUCAAUGUAAACAACCUUUUAAAACUGUAGCUUCUGACUGCAUCUGAUCUAGACAAUUUAGAAGUUU
This 541-nucleotide small RNA is filed under the name Vigna angularis var. angularis. RNAcentral describes it as "Non-protein coding transcript". The record is from RNAcentral. Lineage: Eukaryota; Viridiplantae; Streptophyta; Magnoliopsida; Fabales; Fabaceae.